UUGCCCAUGUUUUACUAUUCUUUAUAUUUUAGCACCUCAAUAUUCUAUAUCCUUUUUUUGUCCAUUUUUCUCUAUUUUUUUAUAUUUUGUGCAUUAUUCUCUAUUCUUGUUAACCCAGGAACAUAUAUAUGAUCGAGUAAUAAUCUGUACAGUUAAUUUUAGACUUUCUGGUUUGUAAUGAUGGGUAAAGGAAAGAUUUGUAGAUAGUUUUUAAAUAACUUUGCAUUAUCA
RNAcentral lists this long non-coding RNA (231 nucleotides) under Mytilus galloprovincialis (Mediterranean mussel). The record is from RNAcentral. Lineage: Eukaryota; Metazoa; Mollusca; Bivalvia; Mytilida; Mytilidae.